GACGAACGCUGGCGGCGUGCCUAAUACAUGCAAGUAGAACGCUGAAGGAGGAGCUUGCUUCUCUGGAUGAGUUGCGAACGGGUGAGUAACGCGUAGGUAACCUGCCUGGUAGCGGGGGAUAACUAUUGGAAACGAUAGCUAAUACCGCAUAAGAGUAGAUGUUGCAUGACAUUUGCUUAAAAGGUGCAAUUGCAUCACUACCAGAUGGAACUGCGUUGUAUUAGCUAGUUGGUGGGGUAACGGCUUACCAAGGCGACGAUACAUAGCCGACCUGAGAGGGUGAUCGGCCACACUGGGACUGAGACACGGCCCAGACUCCUACGGGAGGCAGCAGUAGGGAAUCUUCGGCAAUGGACGGAAGUCUGACCGAGCAACGCCGCGUGAGUGAAGAAGGUUUUCGGAUCGUAAAGCUCUGUUGUAAGAGAAGAACGAGUGUGAGAGUGGAAAGUUCACACUGUGACGGUAGCUUACCAGAAAGGGACGGCUAACUACGUG
This 495-nucleotide ribosomal RNA is filed under the name uncultured bacterium. Its description in RNAcentral is "partial 16S ribosomal RNA". It matches the Rfam family "Bacterial small subunit ribosomal RNA", at positions 28 to 507 of the family's 1533-position model. The record is from RNAcentral.